CAGUCGCCGCGGUAAUAUGUAGGGUGCAAGCGUUAAUCGGAAUUACUGGGCGUAAAGCGUGCGCAGGCGGUUUGUUAAGACAGAUGUGAAAUCCCCGGGCUCAACCUGGGAACUGCAUUUGUGACUGGCAAGCUAGAGUGUGGCAGAGGGGGGUGGAAUUCCGCGUGUAGCAGUGAAAUGCGUAGAUAUGCGGAGGAACACCGAUGGCGAAGGCAGCCCCCUGGGCCAACACUGACGCUCAUGCACGAAAGCGUGGGGAGCAAACAGGAUUAGAUACCCGCGUAGUCCCUGUCUCUUAUAC
Molecule: ribosomal RNA, 301 nt
Filed under: uncultured bacterium
Lineage: Bacteria
Description: partial 16S ribosomal RNA
Rfam family: Bacterial small subunit ribosomal RNA
Source: RNAcentral